AGAACGAACGCUGGCGGCAGGCCUAACACAUGCAAGUCGAACGCCUGCAGCAAUACAGGAGUGGCAGACGGGUGAGUAACGCGUGGGAACGUGCCCAAAGGUACGGAACAACUCCGGGAAACUGGAGCUAAUACCGUAUGUGCCCGAAAGGGGAAAGAUUUAUCGCCUUUGGAUCGGCCCGCGUCUGAUUAGCUAGUUGGUGAGGUAAAGCCCACCAAGGCGACGAUCGGUAGCUGGUCUGAGAGGAUGAUCAGCCACACUGGAACUGAGACACGGUCCAGACUCCGUACGGGAGCAGCAGUGGGAAUAGUUGGACAAGUGGGCGCAAGCCUGAUCCAGCCAUGCCGCGUGUGUGAAGAAGGCCUUCGGUUGUAAGCUACGUUUUGUUAGGGAAGAAAGCGAAGGUAAUUAA
RNAcentral lists this ribosomal RNA (412 nucleotides) under uncultured soil bacterium. RNAcentral's name for it is "bacterial SSU rRNA". It matches the Rfam family "Bacterial small subunit ribosomal RNA", at positions 26 to 464 of the family's 1533-position model. The record is from RNAcentral.